This 85-nucleotide non-coding RNA is filed under the name Clostridium ihumii. Lineage: Bacteria; Bacillati; Bacillota; Clostridia; Eubacteriales; Clostridiaceae. The record is from RNAcentral.
ACCUAUGUAGUGAUACAUAGCUGAAAUCUAAGAAGUCAGCAGAAGUCAUAGUACUCUUGCUAAUCGCGAAAGCGGGUGGAAGGAC